GUACACGCUGUGACUAGCAUAUCAAUAAGCGGAGGAAAAGAAACUAACAAGGAUUCCCCUAGUAACGGCGAGUGAAGCGGGAAGAGCUCAAAUUUGAAAUCUUAAAGGGUUUCCCUUUACGAAUUGUAGUUUAAAGAAGUGUUUUCUGUUGAGGUUUUGGUAAAAGUUCUUUGGAAUAGGACAUCAUAGAGGGUGAGAAUCCCGUAUUUGACCUUUACUUUCAACUUUGUGAUACACUUUCAAAGAGUCGGAUUGUUUGGGAAUGCAGUCCAAAAUGGGUGGUAAAUUUCAUCUAAAGCUAAAUAUUGGCGAGAGACCGAUAGCGAACAAGUACCGUGAGGGAAAGAUGAAAAGAACUUUGAAAAGAGAGUUAAACAGUACGUGAAAUUGUCAAAAGGGAAGCGUUUGACACCAGUGUUGUUUUUCUGAAAAUCAAUUAAAGAACUGUUUAUGCUAAGUUGUUUAGACUUUAUCAGCUAACUGUUUAGUUUUGAGCUUUUCUUUAAUGCACCUUUCAGUUAACAAGUCAACAUCAAUUUCUUUUGCUGUAAAAAAGCUUGAGGAAGGUGGCUUGAGAUUCGUCUUAAGUGUUUAUAGCCUCUUGCCUAUGCAGUCAGAGAGAUUGAGGUCUGCAGCGUAGAUCCUUCGGGGCUAAAUGCAUUUGUGCUAAGUUAUAGCAUUUUAUAGACAACUUGUUGACUAUGAUUUGUCUUGUAGCUUACUCGCUUAUGUUAUUUUACCUACGCUUAGGAUGUUGACGCGCGUGUGUGCGUG
Molecule: ribosomal RNA, 774 nt
Filed under: uncultured Neocallimastigales
Lineage: Eukaryota; Fungi; Neocallimastigomycota; Neocallimastigomycetes; Neocallimastigales
Description: partial large subunit ribosomal RNA
Rfam family: Eukaryotic large subunit ribosomal RNA
Source: RNAcentral